This 305-nucleotide ribosomal RNA is filed under the name uncultured bacterium. Its description in RNAcentral is "bacterial SSU rRNA". It matches the Rfam family "Bacterial small subunit ribosomal RNA", at positions 337 to 660 of the family's 1533-position model. The record is from RNAcentral.
ACCUACGGGACGCAGCAGUGGGGAAUAUUGGACAAUGGGGGGAACCCUGAUCCAGCGACGCCGCGUGAGUGAAGAAGUAUUUCGGUAUGUAAAGCUCUAUCAGCAGGGAAGAAAAUGACGGUACCUGACUAAGAAGCCCCGGCUAACUACGUGCCAGCAGCCGCGGUAAUACGUAGGGGGCAAGCGUUAUCCGGAUUUACUGGGUGUAAAGGGAGCGUAGACGGUGCAGCAAGUCUGAUGUGAAAGGUCGGGGCUCAACCCCGGCCGGCCGUUGAAACUGGUUUUCUAGAGUUGGAGAGAAGUAU